RNAcentral lists this ribosomal RNA (413 nucleotides) under uncultured bacterium. RNAcentral's name for it is "partial 16S ribosomal RNA". It matches the Rfam family "Bacterial small subunit ribosomal RNA", at positions 355 to 759 of the family's 1533-position model. The record is from RNAcentral.
UGGGGAAUUUUGGACAAUUGGGCGAAAGCCUGAUCCAGCAAUGCCGCGUGUGUGAAGAAGGCCUUCGGGUUGUAAAGCACUUUUUGUCCGGAAAGAAAUCCUUGGCUCUAAUACAGUCGGGGGAUGACGGUACCGGAAGAAUAAGCACCGGCUAACUACGUGCCAGCAGCCGCGGUAAUACGUAGGGUGCAAGCGUUAAUCGGAAUUACUGGGCGUAAAGCGUGCGCAGGCGGUUUGCUAAGACCGAUNUGAAAUCCCGGCUCAACUGGGAACUGCAUUGGUGACUGGCAGGCUAGAGUAUGGCAGAGGGGGGUAGAAUUCCACGUGUAGCAGUGAAAUGCGUAGAGAUGGUGGAGGAAUACCGAUGGCGAAGGCAGCCCCCUGGGCCAAGUACUGACGCUCAUGCACGAAAA